AGUGAACGCUGGCGGUAGGCCCAACACAUGCAAGUCGGACGGCAGCACAGUAAGAGCUUGCUCUUACGGGUGGCGAGUGGCGGACGGGUGAGGAAUACAUCGGAAUCUACUUUUUCGUGGGGGAUAACGUAGGGAAACUUACGCUAAUACCGCAUACGACCUACGGGUGAAAGCAGGGGAUCUUCGGACCUUGCGCGAUUGAAUGAGCCGAUGUCGGAUUAGCUAGUUGGCGGGGUAAAGGCCCACCAAGGCGACGAUCCGUAGCUGGUCUGAGAGGAUGAUCAGCCACACUGGAACUGAGACACGGUCCAGACUCCUACGGGAGGCAGCAGUGGGGAAUAUUGGACAAUGGGCGCAAGCCUGAUCCAGCCAUACCGCGUGGGUGAAGAAGGCCUUCGGGUUGUAAAGCCCUUUUGUUGGGAAAGAAAAGCAGCAGGUUAAUACCCCGCUGUUCUGACGGUACCCAAAGAAUAAGCACCGGCUAACUUCGUG
RNAcentral lists this ribosomal RNA (492 nucleotides) under uncultured bacterium. RNAcentral's name for it is "partial 16S ribosomal RNA". It matches the Rfam family "Bacterial small subunit ribosomal RNA", at positions 29 to 507 of the family's 1533-position model. The record is from RNAcentral.